GUGUAGGCAGUCGCGCCGUGUGGAACACAAACAACUGUGACGCGGAAAAAGACUCCGUGUGGCGACACUCAACUCCAUUUUCUCGCCCACUUCCACGCUCCUCCUGUCGAACCGCUCGAGACUUGAUUGUGCUCGCGCGUGACUUUCAGCCGCCCCGCGCGCGGCGGUGGACUUUAGCCCCGCGGGCUAACUAGCCAGCUAGCAGCGUGGGACGGAGGCGAGACAGGUGAGACAGGCAGGAGCCAUGGCGGCCGUGGACGUGAGCGUCUCACCCACGAGACGCGACCCGACGAGCUUCACGUGGGACUGGCGCGUUUCGCGGCGCGUGUACCCGAGAUAAGCUCGACAUUCCACGGUCCAUGUGUGACACAUCCGAAGUUUCACGCGCCGGGGAGCGUGUCUGGACGUGAAAGCCGCCGGUGACGUCACAGCCUACCCCACACCCUGCUGCUUCCCACCUGAGGGUUGCCCCACAUGUCGCUGGCGGGCUCCGCGCAGAUGCUGGCCAAGCUCGCCAAGCACGCCGCGGGUAAAGCGCGGGUCCAGCUGAGCCGCUGGCUGCGGAGGGGCGGCGACGACGGCGACAAGGGCGCCUUCGACGAGCGGGGGGCGGCAGGGCGCUGCGACGGCGACCCGGAGGUGGCCGGGGAAGCCGGCGGCGCCGACUCCAGGCACCCCUGCUGCAUCGUCAAGGGCACCCUGCUGGCGUGCAUCCUCGCCGCCGUGUGCUUCUCCUCGGUGGCGCUGGUCCGCCAGCACCUCAAGGACCUCCUGCUGUGGGUGGAGGGCCUGGACGGCCUGGUGGGCGCCCUGCUGUUCGUGGUGGGCUUCAUCCUGGUCUCCUUCCCCUGCGGCUGGGGCUACAUCCUGCUCAACGUGGCCGCCGGCUACCUCUACGGCUUGGUGCUGGGCAUGGGCCUGGUCAUGGUGGGGGUCCUCAUCGGGACCUUCGUGGCCCACCUGGCCUGCAAGCGGCUGCUGACCGACUGGGUGGUCAACAAGGUGGGGAACAGCGAGCAGCUCAGCGCCAUCAUCCGAGUGGUGGAAGGAGGGAGCGGACUCAAAGUCGUGGCCUUAGCGAGACUCACCCCCAUCCCCUUUGGACUCCAAAAUGCAGUUUUCUCUAUCCCAGACGUGUCCUUGGCCAACUACCUGGUGGCGUCCUCAGUGGGUCUGCUGCCCACCCAGCUGCUCAACUCCUACCUGGGCACCACCCUGCGCACCAUGGAGGACGUCAUCGCCCAGCAGAGUGUCAGUGGAUAUGUACUCUUCUCUCUGCAGAUCGUCAUCAGUAUCGGCCUGAUGUUCUACGUGGUGCACCGUGCUCAGGUGGAGCUCAACGCCGCCAUCGCCGCCUGCCAGAUGGAGCUGCACACCUCACACAUCAACGACAACCACGGCUUCACCUACUGCAGCAAGAGGACGGCAGCCGGCUGCGUCAACGUGGUGUAGAGACACCAUACCUGCCGUCUGCUGGCCACACCCCCUCAGGGGCGCCACUUGUGGUGACGCCCAUUAGCGCACCUGUUGACUCUUCCAGAAGAUGUCAAUCAAGACUUUGAAUGGACACUUCCUGUCUGACUUUGGCAAUAAAGUUUGAGGAAUCGGCCUGAAGCAAAAAAACAAGAAGGAGGGAUCAAGUUUGUUCCUUUUAAGGACUUCCUCAUGAAUAUUAAUGACAUUCUGAUCAUAUUCAUUGAUUAGUCACUAGUAUUCUGAUCAUAUUCAUUGAUUAGUCACUAGUAUUCUGAUCAUAUUCAUUGAUUAGUCACUAGUAUUCUGAUCAUAUUCAUUGAUUAGUCACUAGUAUUCUGAUCAUAUUCAUUGAUUAGUCACUAGUAUUCUGAUCAUAUUCAUUGAUUAGUCACUAGUGAAGUGCAUUACACACAUGCUGUAUUUUAUUAUGUUCACUCUAAUUUAUCACCCAUGAAAUAAAACAUGUUUUA
Molecule: non-coding RNA, 1946 nt
Organism: Nerophis lumbriciformis (worm pipefish)
Lineage: Eukaryota; Metazoa; Chordata; Actinopteri; Syngnathiformes; Syngnathidae
Source: RefSeq, a predicted model, not a curated record